Molecule: ribosomal RNA, 253 nt
Filed under: uncultured bacterium
Lineage: Bacteria
Description: partial 16S ribosomal RNA
Rfam family: Bacterial small subunit ribosomal RNA
Source: RNAcentral
UACGGGGGGAGCAAGCGUUGUUCGGAUUUACUGGGCGUAAAGGGCGCGUAGGCGGCGCAACAAGUCACUUGUGAAAUCUCCGGGCUUAACCCGGAGCGGCCAAGUGAUACUGUCGUGCUAGAGUGCGGAAGGGGCUACUGGAAUUCUCGGUGUAGCGGUGAAAUGCGUAGAUAUCGAGAGGAACACCUGCGGCGAAGGCGGGUAGCUGGGCCGACACUGACGCUGAGGCGCGAAAGCCAGGGGAGCGGACGGG